GACGAACGCUGGCGGCGUGCUUAACACAUGCAAGUCGAACGGUAAGGCCCUUCGGGGUACACGAGUGGCGAACGGGUGAGUAACACGUGGGUGAUCUGCCCUGCACUUCGGGAUAAGCCUGGGAAACUGGGUCUAAUACCGGAUAGGACCACUGCCUGUAUGGGUGGUGGUGGAAAGCUUUUGCGGUGUGGGAUGGGCCCGCGGCCUAUCAGCUUGUUGGUGGGGUGAUGGCCUACCAAGGCGACGACGGGUAGCCGGCCGGAGAGGGUGACCGGCCACGCUAGGACUGGGAUACGGCCCAGAGUCCUACGGGAGGCAGCAGUGGAGAAUAUUGCACAAUGAGCGCAAGCCUGAUGCAGCGACGCCGCGUGAGGGAUGACGGCCUUCGGGUUGUAAACCUCUUUCAGCACCGACGAAGCGCAAGUGACGGUAGGUGCAGAGGAAGGACCGGCCAACUACGUGCCAGCAGCCGCCGUAA
RNAcentral lists this ribosomal RNA (478 nucleotides) under uncultured bacterium. RNAcentral describes it as "partial 16S ribosomal RNA". It matches the Rfam family "Bacterial small subunit ribosomal RNA", at positions 28 to 523 of the family's 1533-position model. The record is from RNAcentral.